This 655-nucleotide unclassified non-coding RNA is filed under the name Hevea brasiliensis (rubber tree). Lineage: Eukaryota; Viridiplantae; Streptophyta; Magnoliopsida; Malpighiales; Euphorbiaceae. The record is from RNAcentral.
GACUGAAAUGGAUGGCAUGAAUGCUAAGAAGACUGUCUUCAUUAUCGGGGCGACGAAUAGGCCAGAUAUCAUAGACUCCGCACUUCUCAGGCCAGGCCGUCUGGAUCAGUUGAUCUAUAUUCCUCUGCCAGAUGAUGCUUCUCGGCUCCAGAUCUUCAAGGCUUGCCUAAGAAAGUCGCCAGUGGCGAAAGAUGUCGACCUGGCAGCUCUUGCCAAGUAUACUCAGGGAUUCAGUGGUGCAGAUAUUACUGAAAUCUGUCAACGAGCAUGCAAGUAUGCGAUAAGGGAAAACAUUGAGAAGGAUAUCGAAAAAGAGAGGAGGAAGGCCGCCAAUCCCGAAGCAAUGGAAGAAGAUGACGAUGAUGAGGUGGCGGAGAUAAAGGCUGCCCAUUUCGAGGAGUCGAUGAAAUAUGCUCGAAGGAGUGUCAGCGAUGCUGACAUUCGUAAGUACCAGGCUUUCGCUCAGACCCUACAGCAGUCGAGGGGGUUUGGUUCGGAAUUCCGCUUCGCUGACCGGCCGGAAACUAGGGCUGCAGACCCCUUUGCAGCUCCGUCUGCAGCAGCCGUAGAUGAGGAUGAUUUAUACAAUUAGUGUUUUUUUAGUGACUUCGUCAGACUAUUUGGGAUAAUUUAAGGGUCUUUGUGAAGUUUAUUU